UAGGGAAUCUUCCACAAUGGACGAAAGUCUGAUGGAGCAACGCCGCGUGAACGAUGAAGGCCUUCGGGUCGUAAAGUUCUGUUGUAAGGGAAGAACAAGUGCCGCAGGCAAUGGCGGCACCUUGACGGUACCUUGCGAGAAAGCCACGGCUAACUACGUGCCAGCAGCCGCGGUAAUACGUAGGUGGCAAGCGUUGUCCGGAAUUAUUGGGCGUAAAGCGCGCGCAGGCGGCCUCUUAAGUCUGAUGUGAAAGCCCCCGGCUCAACCGGGGAGGGCCAUUGGAAACUGGGAGGCUUGAGUAUAGGAGAGAAGAGUGGAAUUCCACGUGUAGCGGUGAAAUGCGUAGAGAUGUGGAGGAACACCAGUGGCGAAGGCGACUCUUUGGCCUAUAACUGACGCUGAGGCGCGAAAGCGUGGGGAGCAAACAGGAUUAGAUACCCUGGUAGUCCACGCCGUAAACGAUGAGUGCUAGGUGUUGGAGGGUUUCCGCCCUUCAGUGCUGAAGCUAACGCAUUAAGCACUCCGCCUGGGGAGUACGGUCGCAAGGCUG
This 550-nucleotide ribosomal RNA is filed under the name uncultured bacterium. RNAcentral describes it as "bacterial SSU rRNA". It matches the Rfam family "Bacterial small subunit ribosomal RNA", at positions 355 to 896 of the family's 1533-position model. The record is from RNAcentral. RNAcentral also lists the same sequence under 1 other name.